RNAcentral lists this transfer RNA (64 nucleotides) under Processina sexmaculata. RNAcentral's name for it is "tRNA-Thr". The record is from RNAcentral. Lineage: Eukaryota; Metazoa; Arthropoda; Insecta; Hemiptera; Cicadellidae.
GUUUUAAUAAUUUAUAAAAAAAUAAUGAUUUUGUAAAUCAAAAAUAGGUUUCACCUUUAAAACU